CGAAACACCGGAAGCUGACGGAAGAGGAUUGAACCGAUAGCAGUAUUGUCUGAGAUGACGGCGGGAGCGCACGAACGAGAACCAGUGACCAAGUUUCAAAAAUUCACGAAAACUGCCUAAUUCUCCACACAGUAAGCGGAGGAAGGAAUGACGAACAUGUUGGCGGCACACGCUGGUACAGGUGGUGAUGAGAAAGUUGUAAGGGAGCUGCGACAACACCACCUCCAGCACCUCCACUGGCAGGCUGAGUCCCGCCCCUGAGAGGACCCCCAUGUGUGCCAUCUGUGCAGGGAAGGUGGCUUGUGACAUGUGACUAAUGAUGUCCAGUGUUGUCUUUGUAUACCUGCUCAGGGACUGGCAUCUAAGUGGGUCUUUUUCUUUAAUCCUAUUUGUUGCCUUGGCCAGACUUCCCCUCUUAUGUUAAAAUAAACAAAAUAAAGAUUGGACUAC
Molecule: long non-coding RNA, 450 nt
Organism: Portunus trituberculatus (swimming crab)
Lineage: Eukaryota; Metazoa; Arthropoda; Malacostraca; Decapoda; Portunidae
Exons: 2
Source: RefSeq, a predicted model, not a curated record